CAUGGCUAGCAAGUUGUUCCAGCACCACUUAUAAACGGUUGAUCUUUCUGGCCACUUGCUCACAUGCUGUCUUCAGUGAUAUUUGGGCCAAUUCCUGGACUCAAGAUUUUGUUCCUUUUUUUUUUUUUCUGUGGUUCUUUGGCGCUAAGACCACACUGUUUUAAUUACUGUGGCUUUUAAUAUCCCAGAUAACCUCAUGACUCACCUUCUGCAGGUCUUUACUCAAAUACAGCCUUUUCUGUGAGAUCUUCCUCAAGCACCCUAUUUACAAUGCUGGCUUCCCUCUACCCCAACCCCUGCCCGCAACCACCUCCAUAUAGUCUCUGCUUUGCUUUAUUCUUCUCCUUAUCACAUGUUACCAUCUGUUAAUCGACAUAUUUUACUUAUUCAUUUGCGUACUGUCUGCAUAUCUAGACUAAGUUUCAUGAGAUGAUAAGUCCAUGAAAACAGGGAUUUUCAUUUCUUUGACUCACUUUUGUAUCCCCGGUGCCUGGAACACUGCCAAGCACAGAACAGAUUCCCAACAAUAUUUAUUGAAUGAAUGACAAACCGGUAGAGAAAAACAUCCUACAUACAACCACUCCCCACCCCGAUUUUUUUUUCGAGAAUUCGUUGGCUCUUUUUACACAAUCUUUUGUCAUGAAAUAUAGUGCUAAAUUGACCAAGUCAAAAAGAAGAUCCAUGGGAUUUUGAAUGGGCCCAUGUUGAAUACACAGGUUAAUUUAGGAAGAAUUGACAACUUUACAGCUUUGAUUAUUUCCGAGGAAGAUCCAGUUAUUUCCCUAUUUUUUCAAGCCUUCUUUUAUUCCCUCAGUGUAGCAAAAUGAUUUUCUUUGUAAAGGCCCUAUGAAUUUCAUAUGAAGAUUGUUCCCAAUCAUGUUGUGAUGUUUUGUUAUUCAUUCACUUAUUCAAUAAAUGCUUCUUGUUGUCAAUCAUGUGCCAGACACUGUUCUAGGAGCUGGGAAUGCAGCAGUGAACAAAAAAUUGUUCUCUGCCCUCAUGGAUGUCAUGUUCUAAUAAGAAUGGAAUUCUUUUUUCCGUUAUAUUUUUUAACUAGCAAUAUUUGGUAUAAAAGAGAGCUAUUGAGUUUGGGGUACUUCUUUUAACAUAUCUUCUUACUAAAUUCUCUCAUCAUUUCUUUUUUUAAAGACUUUUAUUUUUCCCAUUAUAGUUGGUUUACAGUGUUCUGUCAAUUUUUUACUGUAUAGCAAAGUGACCCAAUCUCUCUCUCUCUCUCUCUCUCUCUCUCUCACACACACACACACACACAUAUUUUUCUCACAUUAUCCUCCAUCUUUUUCCAUCACAAAUGACUAGAUAUAGUUCUAUUUUCCCCUUUUAUCUGUUGGCAAAAUGAAGUUUUCCAAUACAGUCCCUGUAUUUAUCCACAAUUGGAUUUCUGGAAAUUAAUUCCAUAUUUUUAGUCAAGAAGAAAAGUCACAAUUUUUUAAAAAUAUUUAGGACUGUAUAAUAUACCAGAAAUGAAUUUAGGUAUCAAAUUAUCUGAUAUGAUCCAAAUAUCUGAUAUGAUACAAUUGACAAUAGUUGUAUGCAACUGAUGCAAGUCAUUUUGAGAAAAUAUUAAUUUUUUACUCUUUGCUGGCAGACUGUUUAGGAACCUAACUCCCUGAGUCAGCUACUGUUGAGUCUAUUUUUUUAAUAAAACAUAAAACCAUGGUUCUCCAUUGAAAGUUAGAGAACAUAAAAUCUACUGAUUUCUUUUAUAUUACUUUCUGUUUGCCAAUUACUUGUACAAACACUGAAGUAGCUAAAGAUUUAAUUUGCAUAUCCAACCACAAUAAAACAAGGAUGCCUGAGUAAAGUCUUACAUCACAGCUGUAAACUAAGAUUUUCUGAGGAGUUACAUUUGUCCUAAUAAUAUAAGACAGGGAUUAAGAGCAAUUAUACAACACCCAUUUCUGCAACUAAAGAAAUGAGGUUUGGCAGCCUGAAGAGUCUUGAGCAUGCUAACGCUGUCAGUAGCAGAGCGUGGACAAAAACUUUAGUUUUCUGCUUCACAUCAAAUACUCUUUCCACCGUGCUCUCCCUUUCAUUCGGCAUUACCUGCGUCACUAGAAACACUCAAAUAUGUUUCUUCACUUACCUAGAAAUUGUUGUGUUACCUUUGCCUAUUAUUUUAGGAGGAAAUCAUUUCUUAUAAAAUUCACAUAUGGCUUUUGAUUUUGUGGCAUCCUUUUCCUGGAGGUUCAAAGAAUGAGCGUAUGCUUGAAGAGUAAAUUCUUACAACAGGUCUGUGGGGCGGGGGUGUGGGGAGCAGAAAUGAUGAGUCUCCUGUGAUAUAAAUCAACAUUCUAAUCGUUAAAAAAUAGAUGCACUCAUUCAUAAGUGUCACAAAACACUCCAAACUGAAUAGGAAGGAAUAUCUGAAUGGAACUGAUAACAGCCAAGCCUGAAGAGGAAGCACAACAGCCCAUUACGAGCUAUUGAAAAUUUCCAUAGAGAGAAAAAAAAAAAUGACAUACAGCAGGAAAUUCCUGACCAGUAGUGUAAUCUCUUACAUAAAAUGUGUUGGCAGAUAAAUGGAUUUUUAUGAUUUUGCUUACAC
Molecule: long non-coding RNA, 2566 nt
Filed under: Sus scrofa (pig)
Lineage: Eukaryota; Metazoa; Chordata; Mammalia; Artiodactyla; Suidae
Description: lncRNA (ENSSSCG00045001469.1)
Source: RNAcentral